This is a long non-coding RNA of Spea bombifrons (plains spadefoot toad), 1344 nucleotides long. RefSeq lists it as uncharacterized. The transcript is spliced from 3 exons. NCBI's taxonomy places the organism in Eukaryota, Metazoa, Chordata, Amphibia, Anura, Pelobatidae. The record is from RefSeq and is a predicted model, not a curated record.
GACCCCACUGCUGGAGGGAUGUGAUCACAGAAGAACACGCAGGUAUCUACCUGACAAGCCUUCCUAUUCACAAACACGAUGAAGCCAAAUUCGUCUGGUUGCUGUUUAAUCAUCAGAGCCCAAGAUCUGCAAGAUCUUCCUUUUCGUUUUAGAGAAAAAAAGAUGGCGGCUGAGGAAAGGCUGCUCUUAAAGCACUCAUGAAGAAAUGCAAUAAAUUCCUUGUUGUUUUAUGAAAAUUUACAACUUUGUGCUAGAAGUUUAUGAGUGGCUGGGUCCUGGGAUUGGCCAGGGCCGGUCAUGUGGACUUGUAGCCGUGAACAUGAACUUUUAUCAUUUCCCAUGUGGUUAUAUUGCACCAGUCUUUCGGCCACCGCACCUUGGGUAGGAUCAGUAUCUCCUUCAGGGCUCCUGUCUGUGUCCUGUCUGCGGGUUUAAGGGAGUAGUGAGAGCGGAAGGAGAGCAUUCAUGGAGUCUGGAAGAAGAUGGAGGGCAGGAGUGGAGGAGCUGAGGAGCUGCAGGCUGAGAGCAGCAUUUCUCAAGCUGGGAACUUGCUCUAUUUUUGAGACAAAUGACAGAAAUCUAAAAGCAAUCAGAAGACAGAGGGAACCUCGGAUCUCAGCCUGGGACAAUGUGUCAGCUACAAAUAACCAGCACCUACCCUGCAAAGCAAAUCUGUGAAGACCGUCUGUUGAGAGGAAAAAAAAGGUGCAGGCGACUUCUGGAUUCUUCUGAGAAACACAGGAUUAGAUCAUCCAGUGUUUUGCUGUUCCUUUUUUCUUUAUUUCCACUUUGGAAAACUUAUCCAAACAUGACUUUAAAAUCAGAAGUCCUGGGAUCAGGGCCCCGGAUCGCACAAGACAAAACCUCCUACUCAUUCCCACAAUCUGGUAUUAAUUGGACAAGACUUUGGUAAGUAUCUGAUAUUUUGUAUUUGGAAUAUUUCAUUUUGGUAUAUUGUAACUACUUGCAGACACAAUGUUUAUACUAAAGUAGAGAAGGCAUAAUUGAUCAUAGGCUUGCAAUCUUGUUAUUAUGUGUCAGUGACACUUCCGGUACAGCUGGUUUAGGACUCAUUGUAGAGUACACACCUAAGGCCAUUGUUGUCAGUAAGGACUAUUUUACUGUUAAGUAAUGGGCAUAAUUUACUAAUACUUUACUAAUUAGAAGAGUGUGAGGCCUCUAUGCUAUGGGUAUCUUGGGUCAAUUAAUGUGAUAAUUUUCUUCUCUGAAUGCUUCUGAAAUAAGUUGUAUGAUCUCAGAUACAUGGUAGGAAUAUAGUAACAUAACUGUGCAAUGUUUAGCACAAAGUGACAUCCCAAUGUUUUAUAGUACAGUACACAAUAA